RNAcentral lists this ribosomal RNA (387 nucleotides) under uncultured bacterium. RNAcentral describes it as "bacterial SSU rRNA". It matches the Rfam family "Bacterial small subunit ribosomal RNA", at positions 30 to 416 of the family's 1533-position model. The record is from RNAcentral.
AUUGAACGCUGGCGGCGUGCUUAACACAUGCAAGUCGUGCGGUAACAGGCGUAGCAAUACGUGCUGACGAGCGGCGAACGGGUGCGUAAUACAUGGGAAUCUGCCUUUUAGUUGGGAAUAACCCGGCGAAAGCCGGGCUAAUGCCGCAUAAGAUCUUCGGAUGAAAGCGGGGGAUCGUAAGACCUCGCGCUGAUAGAUGAGCCCAUGCCGGAUUAGCUAGUGGUGAGGUAACGGCUCACCAAGGCGACGAUCCUUAGCUGGUUUGAGAGAACGACCAGCCACACUGGGACUGAGACACGGCCCAGACUCCUACGGGAGGCAGCAGUGGGGAAUAUUGGACAAUGGGCGCAAGCCUGAUCCAGCCAUGCCGCGUGAGUGAUGAAGGCC